RNAcentral lists this ribosomal RNA (783 nucleotides) under uncultured bacterium. RNAcentral's name for it is "bacterial SSU rRNA". It matches the Rfam family "Bacterial small subunit ribosomal RNA", at positions 56 to 836 of the family's 1533-position model. The record is from RNAcentral.
UGCAAGUCGAACGGCAGCGCGGGGCAACCUGGCGGCGAGUGGCGAACGGGUGAGUAAUAUAUCGGAACAUACCCUAGAGUGGGGGAUAACGUAGCGAAAGUUACGCUAAUACCGCAUACGCACUAAGGUGGAAAGUGGGGGAUCGCAAGACCUCAUGCUCAUGGAGUGGCCGAUAUCUGAUUAGCUAGUUGGUGAGGUAAAGGCUCACCAAGGCGACGAUCAGUAGCUGGUCUGAGAGGACGACCAGCCACACUGGAACUGAGACACGGUCCAGACUCCUACGGGAGGCAGCAGUGGGGAAUUUUGGACAAUGGGGGCAACCCUGAUCCAGCAAUGCCGCGUGAGUGAAGAAGGCCUUCGGGUUGUAAAGCUCUUUUGUCAGGGAAGAAACGGUGGUCUCUAAUAUAGACUGCUAAUGACGGUACCUGAAGAAUAAGCACCGGCUAACUACGUGCCAGCAGCCGCGGUAAUACGUAGGGUGCAAGCGUUAAUCGGAAUUACUGGGCGUAAAGCGUGCGCAGGCGGUUAUAUAAGUCAGAUGUGAAAUCCCCGGGCUCAACCUGGGAACUGCAUUUGAGACUGUAUGGCUAGAGUGUGUCAGAGGGGGGUAGAAUUCCACGUGUAGCAGUGAAAUGCGUAGAUAUGUGGAGGAAUACCGAUGGCGAAGGCAGCCCCCUGGGAUAACACUGACGCUCAUGCACGAAAGCGUGGGGAGCAAACAGGAUUAGAUACCCUGGUAGUCCACGCCCUAAACGAUGUCUACUAGUUGUCGGGUCUUAAUGA